This is an RNA transcript of Rhincodon typus (whale shark), 958 nucleotides long. It is a transcript of the gene named mucin-2-like, with no coding region annotated. NCBI's taxonomy places the organism in Eukaryota, Metazoa, Chordata, Chondrichthyes, Orectolobiformes, Rhincodontidae. The transcript has 5 exons. The record is from RefSeq and is a predicted model, not a curated record.
AACAAAUGUGUGACAACUGUGACAUUCCUGUAGUUUCUGAGGCACUGCAUGCCUCAGUUAAAAAAUGGAGUGGAGAUGUUACAACGAAUGACCUCUUUAAUAUAACCAAGAUUACAGUUGAUUCUAUUGUCCCUAUCGGAGAACUCCUGCUCCAGGUAAAAUUAACAUUUGAUGUCCAGAAAGCUGUAUGCCAUGAAAAUGACAGAAAUGACUUGGUGGGAUGUCAGCUGGAAAGUCCCCAAGACACUAAAGCUGCUACUUGCACCAGCCAAGUCAUGUUUGAAGCUGGCGAGAUCCAGAGUGUUACAGUAGAAUGCAGUGAACCAACAACAGUGCGUCCCACACCAACACCAUCGACAACAUCAACUCCAACAUCAUUGUUAACUGCAACAUCAUCGAAAACUCCAACUUCAACAGCAACAUCAACAAUAUCAUCAUUGAAAAGCAGUCACUCAUCAGAGGAAACCUGGAGGGCGAUGCAUUUUUAUUUAGGGAAAACACAGAUAUAGCCAGAAGAGCUAUAGAUCAAAAGGCAAAAAAAGUAGCUGGGCGAGAGGAAAGCAUUACUCGAAAUGGGGGAAACACAAAUCAGGAGGAAGAAAGUCCAACGGGAGAAGAGGAAGGGACAAUUCCCGGAGAGGAAUAAAUGGCUCUCACUCUCAAAGAAUCUACAACAACAACUCACAAGGCUGAAGGCAUGAUAAAACACAGCCAGAACCUUUUAGGAAGAAUGGACGGUGACAUAAAGGCAAAGGAAACUGAUGAACAGGAAGAAAAUUCCAUUCGACUUUAACUGCUUAAUUUUAAAUCAUUUAAUGAGAAGUAGCUUGCUGCUUAAUUAUUAGUAUUUCAAAAUAUAGCUUAUUACAUUGCUGCUCAAGAUAUUGUCACUGCUCAACAAUGUCUGGUAUGUGAACUAAAUGUAGCAAACUGAUUCAUACAACAAAUCAAUGUAAAC